ACGCUCGACACCUACGGGAGAGAGCAGUGGGGAAUAUUGCACAAUGGGGGAAACCCUGAUGCAGCGACGCCGCGUGAGCGAAGAAGUAUCUCGGUAUGUAAAGCUCUAUCAGCAGGGAAGAAAAUGACGGUACCUGACUAAGAAGCCCCGGCUAACUACGUGCCAGCAGCCGCGGUAAUCUGAGCGGGCUGGCAAGGC
RNAcentral lists this ribosomal RNA (198 nucleotides) under uncultured bacterium. Its description in RNAcentral is "partial 16S ribosomal RNA". It matches the Rfam family "Bacterial small subunit ribosomal RNA", at positions 328 to 539 of the family's 1533-position model. The record is from RNAcentral.